UACGGGGGGGGCAAGCGUUGUUCGGAAUUACUGGGCGUAAAGGGCUCGUAGGCGGCCAACUAAGUCAGACGUGAAAUCCCUCGGCUUAACCGGGGAACUGCGUCUGAUACUGGAUGGCUUGAGUUUGGGAGAGGGACGCGGAAUUCCAGGUGUAGCGGUGAAAUGCGUAGAUAUCUGGAGGAACACCGGUGGCGAAGGCGGCGUCCUGGACCAAUACUGACACUGAGGAGCGAAAGCCAGGGGAGCAAACGGG
Molecule: ribosomal RNA, 253 nt
Filed under: uncultured bacterium
Lineage: Bacteria
Description: partial 16S ribosomal RNA
Rfam family: Bacterial small subunit ribosomal RNA
Source: RNAcentral